AGAGGGUGCGAGCGUUAAUCGGAAUUACUGGGCGUAAAGAGCGCGUAGGUUGAUAUUAAGGUUGGAUGUGAAAUUCCUGGGCUUAACCGAGGCAUGUCAUCCAAAACGUAAUAUCUAGAGUACGGAAGAGGGUAGUGGAAUUUCCGGUGUAGCGGUGAAAUGCGUAGAUAUCGGAAGGAACAUCAGUGGCGAAGGCGGCUACCUGGCCCGAUACUGACACUGAGGCGCGAAAGCGUGGGGAGCGAACAGGGAUUAGAUACCCUGGUAGUCCACGCCGUAAACGAUGAGAACUAGCUGUUGGGUGGCGAGUCCACUCAGUGGCGAAGCAAACGCGUUAAGUUCUCCGCCUGGGGAGUACGACCGCAAGGUUA
This 371-nucleotide ribosomal RNA is filed under the name uncultured organism. RNAcentral describes it as "partial 16S ribosomal RNA". It matches the Rfam family "Bacterial small subunit ribosomal RNA", at positions 527 to 896 of the family's 1533-position model. The record is from RNAcentral.